GACGAACGCUGGCGGCGUGCUUAACACAUGCAAGUCAAGGAGAAGUUCUACUUCGGUGGAGCGGAUACUGGCGCACGGGUGAGUAACGCGUAUGUAAUCUACCCCAGGUCCGGGGAUAACACUUCCAACGAGGUGCUAAUACCCGAUGAAGCAGCGGCACCGCAUGGUGACAGUUGUUAAAGUUUCGAUGACCUGGGAUGAGCAUGCGUCCCAUUAGGUAGUUGGUGAGGUAACGGCUCACCAAGCCGGCGAUGGGUAGCUGGUCUGAGAGGAUGAUCAGCCACACUGGGACUGAGACACGGCCCAGACUCCUACGGGAGGCAG
Molecule: ribosomal RNA, 324 nt
Filed under: uncultured Chlorobiota bacterium
Lineage: Bacteria; Pseudomonadati; Chlorobiota
Description: bacterial SSU rRNA
Rfam family: Bacterial small subunit ribosomal RNA
Source: RNAcentral